This 97-nucleotide ribosomal RNA is filed under the name Carlito syrichta (Philippine tarsier). The record is from RNAcentral. Lineage: Eukaryota; Metazoa; Chordata; Mammalia; Primates; Tarsiidae.
GUCUAUGGCCAUACCACCCUGAACACACCCAAUCUCAUCUGCUCUCAAAAGCUAAGCAAGGCUAGGCCUGGUUAAUACUUGAAUGGGAGUGCUAACU